This 64-nucleotide transfer RNA is filed under the name Stenocladius sp. 2 XYG-2023a. Its description in RNAcentral is "tRNA-Ser". Lineage: Eukaryota; Metazoa; Arthropoda; Insecta; Coleoptera; Lampyridae. The record is from RNAcentral.
AGUUAAUGAACUUGAUAUAAGUAUAUAUUUUGAAAAUAUAAAAUAGGUUUUAUCCUAUUAACUU